This 306-nucleotide long non-coding RNA is filed under the name Capsella rubella. Its description in RNAcentral is "long non-coding RNA (CRUB_LNC001374)". Lineage: Eukaryota; Viridiplantae; Streptophyta; Magnoliopsida; Brassicales; Brassicaceae. The record is from RNAcentral.
UUACCGGUUAGUGGUGAACCGAAGCUCUCUUUUUUGUUUAAUAGCAAAAGCUUAUAAUUAUUGGAUUGGAGAUAUACAUAUAUUGGUCCAUUGGUUUUAGAAGUUGUUAUCGCUCCCAAAAUAGAAGUUGUAUAAUCAUUCAUAUGGUAUUACUGAUUUUUAUGAUUAAUAUCGAAAAAAAAAAAAAAACGUGGUCAAGCCUACUAGCCUAGUCCAAUCAGAGAUUCAGUUUGUCUAAAUUUCAAUGUACCCACUUAAAUGUCGUUUUAAAGUAAUACACAUGUUACGUAUUAUAUAAUAUGGGUU